Long non-coding RNA from Apus apus (common swift), 529 nucleotides. RefSeq lists it as uncharacterized. The transcript is spliced from 4 exons. Lineage: Eukaryota; Metazoa; Chordata; Aves; Apodiformes; Apodidae. The record is from RefSeq and is a predicted model, not a curated record.
UUAAAGAGACCCGCAGAGGUUGUGUGCGGUGCGGUUGGUUUUGGUACUGAGGGGGCUGCUGUCUGAGUAACAGAAUCGCGGCUGGAAUGGUGAUUCCUUGAGACCCGCCGCAGAAUCCGCUCAUGAGAGAUGGGGGAAAAAACAAACAAAAAAAAAACAACCCAAAAAACUCCUAGGCUACAUUAAAAACAACUCCGCAAAAGUAAAGUCCUCUUGAUUACUUAACUGCAGGCUUCUGGCAUGGGUGCGGUGUGCCAGUUGUUAGCACCGGUGCUCUUCCACUUCAGAGAAAUAGUCCCCCUAGUGUGCCGCUACUGGAGGGAGCACGGCGGGAACAGAUUCAUCAAGAGAGUAUGCCAUCCGGAAGAAUGGUGUAUUCCCAAGAAAGGCUACUUUUGCAGGAGGUUUUCCCCUGGAAAGUACAAUCAACAUGCUGAAUUUGCUUGGAAAUACCCUAAUUAAAUGCAAAAAACAAGAUGAGAACAUUAAAAAAAUAAAAGCCAAACAAAUCCUUAGAGUCAAGUACUGA